RNAcentral lists this ribosomal RNA (465 nucleotides) under uncultured bacterium. RNAcentral's name for it is "partial 16S ribosomal RNA". It matches the Rfam family "Bacterial small subunit ribosomal RNA", at positions 28 to 507 of the family's 1533-position model. The record is from RNAcentral.
GACGAACGCUGGCGGCGUGCUUAACGCAUGCAAGUCGAACGGAAAGGCCCCUUUGGGGGUCCUCGAGUGGCGAACGGGUGAGUAACACGUGAGUAACCUGCCCUUGACUUCGGGAUAACUUCAGGAAACUGGGGCUAAUACCGGAUAGGAAUCCUUGCUGCAUGGUGGGGGUUGGAAAGCUUCGGCGGUUUUGGAUGGACUCGCGGCUUAUCAGCUUGUUGGUGGGGUAGUGGCUUACCAAGGCUUUGACGGGUAGCCGGCCUGAGAGGGCGACCGGCCACAUUGGGACUGAGAUACGGCCCAGACUCCUACGGGAGGCAGCAGUGGGGAAUAUUGCACAAUGGGCGGAAGCCUGAUGCAGCAACGCCGCGUGCGGGAGGACGGCCUUCGGGUUGUAAACCGCUUUCAGCAGGGGCGAAGCUUGUGGUGACGGUACCUGCAGAAGAAGCACCGGCUAACUACGUG